GUUUAAGGCCAUGCUACCUUGAACAUGCCCAAUCCCAUCUGAUCUUGGAAGCUAAGCAGGGUCAGGCCUGGUUAGUACUUGGAUGGGAGACCACCUAGGAAGACCAGGUGCUGUAGGCG
Non-coding RNA from Pteropus alecto (black flying fox), 119 nucleotides. The record is from Rfam. Lineage: Eukaryota; Metazoa; Chordata; Mammalia; Chiroptera; Pteropodidae.